UGCAGCAACGCCGCGUGAGGGACGACGGCCUUCGGGUUGUAAACCUCUUUUAGUAGGGAAGAAGCGAAAGUGACGGUACCUGCAGAAAAAGCACCGGCUAACUACGUGCCAGCAGCCGCGGUAAUACGUAGGGUGCAAGCGUUAUCCGGAAUUAUUGGGCGUAAAGAGCUCGUAGGCGGUUUGUCGCGUCUGCUGUGAAAACUGGAGGCUCAACCUCCAGCCUGCAGUGGGUACGGGCAGACUAGAGUGCGGUAGGGGAGAUUGGAAUUCCUGGUGUAGCGGUGGAAUGCGCAGAUAUCAGGAGGAACACCGAUGGCGAAGGCAGAUCUCUGGGCCGUAACUGACGCUGAGGAGCGAAAGCAUGGGGAGCGAACAGGAUUAGAUACCCUGGUAGUCCAUGCCGUAAACGUUGGGAACUAGAUGUAGGGACCAUUCCACGGUUUCUGUGUCGCAGCUAACGCAUUAAGUUCCCCGCCUGGGGAGUACGGCCGCAAGGCUAAAACUCAAAGGAAUUGACGGGGGCCCGCACAAGCGGCGGAGCAUGCGGAUUAAUUCGAUGCAACGCGAAGAACCUUACCAAGGCUUGACAUAUACGAGAACGGGCUAGAAAUAGUCAACUCUUUG
RNAcentral lists this ribosomal RNA (624 nucleotides) under Microbacteriaceae bacterium Ri2Pt_4224. RNAcentral's name for it is "bacterial SSU rRNA". It matches the Rfam family "Bacterial small subunit ribosomal RNA", at positions 387 to 1020 of the family's 1533-position model. The record is from RNAcentral. Lineage: Bacteria; Bacillati; Actinomycetota; Actinomycetes; Micrococcales; Microbacteriaceae.